RNAcentral lists this ribosomal RNA (246 nucleotides) under uncultured bacterium. RNAcentral describes it as "partial 16S ribosomal RNA". It matches the Rfam family "Bacterial small subunit ribosomal RNA", at positions 796 to 1041 of the family's 1533-position model. The record is from RNAcentral. RNAcentral also lists the same sequence under 1 other name.
CACGCCGUAAACGGUGGGCGCUAGGUGUGGGGAUCUUCCACGGUCUCCGUGCCGUAGCUAACGCAUUAAGCGCCCCGCCUGGGGAGUACGGCCGCAAGGCUAAAACUCAAAGGAAUUGACGGGGGCCCGCACAAGCGGCGGAGCAUGCGGCUUAAUUCGAUGCAACGCGAAGAACCUUACCUAGGCUUGACAUGUGGAGUAAUCCGGCGGAAACGUCGGGUCCUUUAGUGGGCUUCACACAGGUGG